UUUAUGACAGAACACAGGUGGAUUGAUUUAAAAUUAUAGAAUUUUCAACUGAUUUUGUCAUAUUGUUCAUUUAAAAGAGGCUUUUAUGAAAUGUGUGUACAUUAUAGGCGCAGGAGCGGCUGUGUGGUAAGUAGCUUGUUUACCAACCACAUGGUUCCGGGUUCAGUCCCACUGCAUGGCACCUUGGGCAAGUGUCUUCUACUAUAGCCUCGGGCCGACCAAAGCCUUGUGAGUGGAUUUGGUAGACGGAAACUGAAAAAAGCCCGUCGUAUAUAUGUAUAUAUAUGCGUGUUUGUGUGUUUGUGUUUGUCCCCUUAGCAUUGCUUGACAACCGAUGCUGGUGCGUUUAUGUCCCCGUUACUUAGCGGUUCGGCAAAAGAGACCGAUAGAAUAAGUACUGGGCUUACAAAAGAAUAAGUCCUGGGGUCGAGUUGCUUGAUUAAAGAUGGUGCUCCAGCAUGGCCACAGUCAAAUGACUGAAACAAGUAAGAGAGUAUGUAUGAAAUAUGAACAUGUGGUCACUCGUUUUUAUCAAACAUGUAUUUUAUGUAUAUUCUUCUGGUUUUAUUUAUUGAAUUUCUCUCAAAUAAAAAAGACUGUCUGCAGCCCAGAACCUAGUCUCUUUCAUUGGUUUUGUGUGUCUGUGUAUCCCCACUCAAGUAUGUUUGUAGACAGACAUAGCAAUAUGUGUCAAUUUAUAGGUUUUGAGCUAUUCAUAGCUUAUAUCUGCAAUCUGUAGUAUGUAAGUAUAAAUAUCCGCAUACUACAAACUGAAUUUCUACAAUGUUUUACAUAUUUUUUAUAGUUCCAUUAAUGGUUUGUAAUUGUUACUUUUCUAAUUAGUUUUGUUUGUUAUUGUUUUGUGAUGCCCAGCUUUUUAAGAGUAUUGCUCAGGUAGUUAGUCAUAUAAUCAGGUGCCCUACUAAUUGCAGGUAUAAAUCUAAAGUGAUAGUCCAGGCGUUGUAUUUGCAUACUUUUCAGUUAUUCACCAUGGAGUUUUUCUGUUUGUGGCCGAUGACAGUACUGCCUGAUUGGCACCUGUGCCAGUGGCACAUUAAAAGGACCAUUCAAACGUGAUCAUUGCCAGCGUUGCCUGACUGGCUCCUGUGCCGGUAACACGUAAAAAGCACCAUUUGAGCAUGGUCGAUGCUAGUAAAAAAGCACUCACUACACUCUUGAAGUGGUUAGCAUUAGGAAGGGCAUCCAGCUGUAGAAGCUUUGCCAGAUCAGAUUGGAGUCUGGUGCAGCCUUCUGGCUCUCUAGCCCUCAGUCAAACCGUCCAACCCAUGCCAGCAUGGAAAGCGGAGUUAAACGCCAACAAUGAUGAUGUCUGACUAGUACGGAAGGAGUUCUCCUCAUCCAGUCAACUUCCAAUGUUUGUGUGUAAAGCAACUGAAGAUUGUAUCCCUUAGAUUGUUCAAGCUUUCUACUAAUGGCAAGUAUCCAAAUAUAUCUUCAUCUACUAUAUAACAAGCAAGUUCCAGGUAUCCCUCUUUGAAUGUUAAAGCCGUAAAAAUAGAGAAAGGGGCAGUGGCUGGUAGAUUCCACCCUUUAUCUAGAAAUGGCUACACUCAUAGCAAAAGCUGUCUUUUCUAUAACGGUUUCUUUACCAUAUUUCUGUUGAAAUUCUCUUUCCGUUUGAAUGUUGAAAAUAAUGCAGUUGGGGUUUGGAACAUAAAUUAACAUGAAAUGUUCGUAGACAGAAUUCAUUUUCAGAAAUAUUAAAUUUCUUAAUAUCUCAUAGAGACAUGAGCGGUGGUGGAGCGAUAGAGUGGUUGUAUACUGUCAACAUAAUGUGACAGUCCCGUAAAGGGAAUUACACUACCGUUGUUUAGCCCUAGGAAGCAUCGACGCUUCCUGUCGGCCUUGACACAUUUCCUGUGCCCUUAUAUAUUUACAAAGGGCCCUUUCGUAAAUAUAUACACACACACACUGGUAUUUGUGUGCAUAGCCACCUAAACACCCCUUUCUGUUUUACAUACUGUCAGUUAUACCCUAUUGUGUUUUGACAAGUGUAUUUAUUAUGUAUUUAACAGAAAUCAAUUAUUUUCUAUUCUUUCAGAUUGGCAGAGCAUGACAGCAGUUCGUGUCAGGCUAUCAUUACUUACUUGUCCAAAAACGUCCGGCUUACUGUUCAGACGCAAUUCAUCGAACCAAUUUUAUUUCCUCUGAACUCCCUUCUUCAGUUUUUGGGGGAUCUUGACUGGAACCCCUCCGAUGGCUCACCUAUUCUCAAAGCACGCACUGUACGCUGCGUCGAUGGGCUUGAUUUGAUUCUGUAUGAGAGAGCUUUGUCUGCUCAAAGAGCCUAUCUAUGCAGUCGUGAAGCAACAAGGAACUCUUCAGCCACUUCUGUUCCCAAAGAAUAACCAAGUUUGAAAUUCCAUCAAAGAGAACUUACCAAUGUUUAGGUGCAGGCGUGGCUGGUUGGUUAAGAAGUCUGCUUCCCAACCAGAUGGUUUUGGGUUCAGUCCCACUGCACAACACCUUGGGCAAGUGUCUUCUACUAUAGCCCAGGUUGAUUAAUGCCUGAGAGUUUGAAUUUGGUUGGUAGAAACUGUGUGGAAGCCUGUCGUGUGUGUGUGCGUCUUUGUGCAUGUCUUCACCACCACUUGACAACUGAUGGUGUUUUAUAUACAACCAUGUAACUUAGCUGUUCAGCAAAAGAGAUUGACAGAAUAGGUACAAGGUUUAAAAAAAUAGGUACUCGGGUUGAUUUGUUCAACUAAACCCUUCAAGGUAGUGCCCCAGCAUGGCCACAGUCACGAUUGAAACGUAAAAGGUAAAUUAAGAGUGAAAACCCUGACUUUUACCCCUGUGAAGCUUAAUGCCACAUUUCCUACUUUGACUGACCAGCUCCCUGCCGUGAUGUCCAGGUAGACUGACUGCUGUCUCUCAUAUCCUUGAUGUGGAACAUGAUUCUUUCUUAAAGCGGGUUCACCUGCCACCUCCUCCCCUCGCAAAUAGGAGGUGCACUGACUGGAAGGUGAAACUGCUUGGCUACUGACCCUACAGCAAUAAGUUCAAGUCUGUGUUUUUAGUCGGUGAUUCUUUUUUUUUUUUUUU
This 3066-nucleotide long non-coding RNA is filed under the name Octopus vulgaris (common octopus). The record is from RNAcentral. Lineage: Eukaryota; Metazoa; Mollusca; Cephalopoda; Octopoda; Octopodidae.